RNAcentral lists this long non-coding RNA (950 nucleotides) under Mus musculus (house mouse). RNAcentral's name for it is "long non-coding RNA chr10:67785743-67786693". The record is from RNAcentral. Lineage: Eukaryota; Metazoa; Chordata; Mammalia; Rodentia; Muridae.
AUUCUGAGUCAUCUGCUUGGGUUAUAAAGUCAACAGUCACAGACUGGCCUUGCAUCACUGGACCCAAACCUUUGACCUAACUUUCCCGUCUAAGGUGAAGAGAAAAUGACAAAGCAGUUAGCUUUAACCCAGCUUAUCUGUUUGGCAUUGCUGCAAGAGAGCACUUGAGACUUGGUUACUUAACAUAAAGAGAACAGCACUUGGCUCAGAGCUCCAGGAGUCCGAGACAUACACGACUGAAGUGUCCCUUCAAGCUAGGUCCUUCUGCUUUUUAAAACAUUGCAGGAUACAAUACAUCAUGAGAGGACACACCUAAGAGAGGAGGAGAACUAAGCCUGGUUCGUAACAAACCCACUGUCAUGCUAACGAAUCCACUCCCAGGAUGGCGAGUCUACUUGUGAGCAAAGAAUCCUUAUGACCUGGCUAUCGGUUAGCCACUUGGUGAAGAUCCUGCCAACUAAAAUCUAACAGGGAAGCUUAAGAUUCCAGUAAAGAGCAGGGAGUAGAGUGUUUCUGAACAGCACAGAGCUAUGAGGCAGAGGUACCUAUCAACAGAAUUAGAGAGCGAUCCAGGCAGACACUAGAAGAUAAACUCGUUUAUCUUCUCACAUCUGCCAAGUCAUGAAGGGCAGCUGUGUGGCAUAUCUUCUGUCCAACUUGCUUCCCAAUGGCUCGUUCUGCCUUGAGUAUAGCAGCUAUAAGAGAUGGGGGCAAUGGUGGAACUAGAGGAAACUCCAAGUGCGAGUGGUUCUAUUGGCAUUAAGAAAGUGACACCAGAUUUUUCUUCAUACAGAGGACAGUGGGUCACCAAGUGCUGUAGACCCAGUGAGAAGAUCACUGUUGACUCCAUAGGAAUUCUCGACAUGGCUUCUACCUUUUGAGUGUGCAAUGCUUUUUGUGUUAAAUCAUCUUUUUUUCCUACUUUAGGAAAUAGAACCAGAUUAUAACUC